RNAcentral lists this ribosomal RNA (130 nucleotides) under Decalepidanthus sericophyllus. RNAcentral's name for it is "5.8S ribosomal RNA". The stretch from base 1 to 89 matches the Rfam family "5.8S ribosomal RNA", at positions 68 to 154 of the family's 154-position model. Rfam says of the family: 5.8S ribosomal RNA (5.8S rRNA) is a component of the large subunit of the eukaryotic ribosome. It is transcribed by RNA polymerase I as part of the 45S precursor that also contains 18S and 28S rRNA. The record is from RNAcentral. Lineage: Eukaryota; Viridiplantae; Streptophyta; Magnoliopsida; Boraginales; Boraginaceae.
UGAAUUGCAGAAUCCCGUGAACCAUCGAGUCUUUGAACGCAAGUUGCGCCUGAAGCCAUUAGGCCAAGGGCACGUCUGCCUGGGCGUCACGCAUCGCGUCACCCCUCCUCCAAUCUUGGUGGAUGGGGUG